GACGAUUCACAUGGUUCUAUGCCUGAUAUUGAUUCCAAAGUUUGUCCUAAACAUUAUCUAAGGUCCAGGAACACUUUCUACAACAAUUUAAUCAAUUCCUACCGUUUAAUCAUCAAUUCUAGGGAUUUGACCUAGUUUUCGUUUUCUCCAAUUCAAUCCUAAUUCUUGCUAACUAAUCAUCAGAAUUACACUCAAUUAACAAUACUGAGUUAUUAGUCUCACCCUUACCUUGUUUUGCAG
Molecule: long non-coding RNA, 240 nt
Filed under: Medicago truncatula (barrel medic)
Lineage: Eukaryota; Viridiplantae; Streptophyta; Magnoliopsida; Fabales; Fabaceae
Description: long non-coding RNA (MTRU_LNC007334)
Source: RNAcentral